RNAcentral lists this ribosomal RNA (510 nucleotides) under uncultured bacterium. Its description in RNAcentral is "bacterial SSU rRNA". It matches the Rfam family "Bacterial small subunit ribosomal RNA", at positions 29 to 518 of the family's 1533-position model. The record is from RNAcentral.
AACGAACGCUGGCGGCGUGCUUAACACAUGCAAGUCGAACGCGAAAGGGACUUCGGUCCUGAGUAAAGUGGCGCACGGGUGAGUAACGCGUAGAUAACCUGUCUUCAUGUCUGGAAUAAUACGCCGAAAGGGGUACUAAUACCGGAUAUUCUUGCUUUUCAUAAGUUAUGCAAGCAAAGGUGGCCUCUGCAUAUGCUACUGCAUGAAGAGGGGUCUGCGUACCAUUAGCUAGUAGGUGGGGUAAUGGCCCACCUAGGCGACGAUGGUUAGCGGGUCUGAGAGGAUGAUCCGCCACACUGGCACUGGAACACGGGCCAGACUCCUACGGGAGGCAGCAGUGAGGAAUAUUGCGCAAUGGGGAAACCCUGACGCAGCGACGCCGCGUGAGUGAAGGAAGGCCUUCGGGUCGUAAAGCUCUGUCAAGAGGAAAGAAGUGUACAAUGGCUAAUACCUGUUGUAUUUGACGGUACCUCUAAAGGAAGCACCGGCUAACUCCGUGCCAGCCGCAGC